AAAGAAAGAAAGAGAGGAAGGAGAAAGGAGAGGCGAGAAAGGGAGGAAGGGAAAGAAGAAAAGGAAGGAAGGAUGAGAAAGAGAAAGAAAAGGAAAAUUACAUCAUCUUCUGUUUUGCAAUGAUCCGCCCCAAACUCUUUGAAACAAGAGGGGACACAGAAUUCAAGUUGAGGUCAGCUUUGGCAGGGGGCUAGGCAUCCUACAACCUGUAUGAACCCAGGUGUCUUCUAGAGUGUGUCCAGGGAAUGUAGUAAAAUUAGAAUGAUGAGUAACCAUUGUUGGGUGUCGAACCGAGAAGCCAGGCGAGCAUUUUCGACAGCACCACCAUUACUCACAACAAUCCUAUCAAAUAGGGCUUGCCAUUCUUGUUGCCAUUUUAAAGGUGGGAAAAGAGACUCAGAGAUUGGUUCCAUGGUUGGUUAGCAGUGGAGCUCGCGAUGAUGCCUCAGAGCCACAUCUCUAAGCCUUGUGAAAAGAAGCAGAAGCAGUGCAGAGAAGAGCAAUGCUUGAGGAAGGGAAAUGAAGAGGCAAAUUGAAGGAGUCCCAUCACAUGGCUUUUGCACGUGUAUCUCCCUUUACCAGAACACCCUUCCCCCAGAUUGAAGUUUCAGAUCAAAAUAUAGAGAUAAUCAUCCAUCGCCCCAGCUAACCUGCCCACUACACGCACACCUACCCCCUCAGAUGUUUUGAUGAAUCCUGUUUUAUUUUAUUUUUAAAAUUUUUAUUCAUGUAAGUAAUCUCUACACCCAACAUGGGGCUCGAACUCAUGACCUCGAGAUCAAGAGUCUCAUGCUCUUCCAACAGAGCCAGCCAGGUGCCGUCUGUACUAUUUUUCAAAUAGCCUCACCUCUUCUGGAAUUAUCUUUUCAUCCAUUAAGAGAGGCUGUAGGGAAAUGGAGGAAAAGUAUCUCGCUUGUGUGUUUUAAUAUUAUCUACUGCUGUCAUGAACUCCUCAUGUCAAGACAUUUGGAAAAACACCUGAGAGGAUGGGUGUGCUUGUUGGGGACUCUGGGAACCACUUCAUUAUCCAGAGCUGCAGUCUGAUCUGAAAUAUCAACAGGCAUCAUCUUGAUCAUCUUGGGAAAGAAGUCUUCUGACGUCCUGAGUCCUCAGUCUUCUGAAGCAAUCUGCUGGUCCCAAGUUCUCCCUUUCCAAGGACCUGGAAGAAAGACGGUGAUAAACCAAAGACGCUUACAGCUUCAUCAGCUCGAAGGACAUGACUUAUUUUCCUCUUCCUUGAACUUUGCUUGGCUUCCCGAGAAGAUAACUUAUUUUUAUUUCUCUCUUUAUUUCUUUAUUUUGUAUCAGCCUGUAUUAAAGUCCUAUAAAUAACCCUGGA
This is a long non-coding RNA of Canis lupus familiaris (dog), 1339 nucleotides long. RefSeq lists it as uncharacterized. The transcript is spliced from 3 exons. Lineage: Eukaryota; Metazoa; Chordata; Mammalia; Carnivora; Canidae. The record is from RefSeq and is a predicted model, not a curated record.